AAAAGACCUUAGUUAUAACCAAAUGAAUCUUCUGAUUAGUUUUACCUUAUUUUGAUUCUGAGAUCUAAAAGUCUUGGAGCCUGUAGUCUCAUCAUAAUUAGUAGGAAAUCUGUGUGUAUAUAUUAUUGUUAGGAAUCUUUAAGUGUUAGAAUUUUCACAUCGAAAAGAGAUGGAAUGAAUGAGAGAUAUAUAAGUAGAAAGGACCAAUAUGUCCAUUGCCUUAAGGUUUUGGGUUGGAUGUGGUUUUAAACCUAUGAAUGUGUUCUUUUACAAGGCCCAUCAAGAAAGAUUCUCCCCCAAGCGUUUUAGGCUUCUCAGAUCUCUAACAAGAAUAAAUUAGGAAUUAACAGAGCAUUGAUAGAAGAAAAGCCACAAACCCAUUGAUUACAAUAAAACCGAACUAAACUAAAUUACAUAUUAAACCAAACCAAAUUUUAAUUUCGGUUCAGUUUACUUAGGUCUGUUAUUUCGGUUCAAACCGAAUUUUGCUCAACUAAUGACGACAUCAUGGUGGACCUUGAAGCACCACAAUUCA
Molecule: unclassified non-coding RNA, 535 nt
Filed under: Hevea brasiliensis (rubber tree)
Lineage: Eukaryota; Viridiplantae; Streptophyta; Magnoliopsida; Malpighiales; Euphorbiaceae
Source: RNAcentral